AUCUGCCCUUUCCCUCCGUCCAUUUAUUUUUAGCGCGCCUCUUCCUUUCGUCUUGUCUGUCUUCUUUGUUCUCACUAGCAAUCUUCAGUACGCGGGAAACUAGCCCUAGCGGAGAACCCCGGAGGAGGCAUCGCGACAGCCAAAAAUGCCGAAGUCCAUGUGCAAUAAAAUAGUGAACAAGAGAAGCUCAAAUCUUCUUAUUGUGAAAACAUAUCGAAAUGAUGGCAUCGAGUUUCUGAAAGGUCACGGCUUCUAAGUAGACGGGCAGCAAGUCCACUAUUUAGGUAACAUCUCAUAUGAAAUAAUGUUCUCCGGCGGAG
This is a long non-coding RNA of Neltuma alba, 320 nucleotides long. RefSeq lists it as uncharacterized. The record is from RefSeq and is a predicted model, not a curated record. NCBI's taxonomy places the organism in Eukaryota, Viridiplantae, Streptophyta, Magnoliopsida, Fabales, Fabaceae. The transcript is spliced from 5 exons.